AUUGAACGCUGGCGGAAUGCUUUACACAUGCAAGUCGAACGGUAGAGGGGGCAACCCCUCGAGAGUGGCGAACGGGUGAGUAAUAUAUCGGAACGUGCCCAGGCGUGGGGGAUAACGUAGCGAAAGUUACGCUAAUACCGCAUACGAUCUAAGGAUGAAAGCGGGGGAUCGCAAGACCUCGCGCGAUUGGAGCGGCCGAUAUCAGAUUAGGUAGUUGGUGGGGUAAAGGCCCACCAAGCCAACGAUCUGUAGCUGGUCUGAGAGGACGACCAGCCACACUGGAACUGAGACACGAUCCAGACUCCUACGGGAGGCAGCAGUGGGGAAUUUUGGACAAUGGACGCAAGUCUGAUCCAGCCAUUCCGCGUGCAGGAUGAAGGCCCUCGGGUUGUAAACUGCUUUUGUACGGAACGAAAAGGUCUCUCUCAUUACGGGGGGCUCAUGACGGUACCGUAAGAAUAAGCACCGGCUAACUACGUGCCAGCAGCCGCAGUAA
Molecule: ribosomal RNA, 496 nt
Filed under: uncultured bacterium
Lineage: Bacteria
Description: partial 16S ribosomal RNA
Rfam family: Bacterial small subunit ribosomal RNA
Source: RNAcentral